AUUAUCAACAACCCUAAAUAAAACGAGCCAGUUAGCAGAUAUAUUUAAUUUUUAAUUUCUUUCAUCGGUUAUUUAGUUGGCCAAAAGUGAAGUAAAAAGUAAGAAUCAAAAGAGCUUCUAUUCUGAACUGAAAGUGGAAGUGCUACCAGCUACAUUCGUACAUAUAUUGGAUAAGCAGAGCGGCGAGACGUGCUGAGUGAGUGAGUGAGUGUGCGUCACUUUGUUAAUCAAAAUAUUAGGAAAAAUUGAAUUUUCGACGCGUGAGUGCAGCGAGCAAUCUCUUGCUAAUUGUUAAUUGUUGUGCAGUUAGUCCGGAAGUCGAAACAGUGCUCAACGGUGAUGUCCCCAACGCACAAUAUCGCGAUUUUUCGUUCUUAAAUUUUACCUACUCGACCAACACACACACUUACCCACACACACGCGGCGGCCGAGCAGCAGAGAAAGAAGAAGCAGAGUCGGAGGCAAAAGCGAAGCGGAGACCAUCAACUUAAAAUUUGCGAGGACAGUCCGGUCUUGGCACAGAGAACGAAUUCCACCCGCGCGCACACAACACAGCAUGUUCAGUGGACAUGGGCGGAUUCCUGGAUAAGCCGAACACCGCCAAGCACAAUGACGAGGGCGCGGGCAACAAGCUGCUCUUCGGAGUCAGCUCCAUGCAGGGCUGGCGCUGCGAGAUGGAGGACGCGUACUACGCCCGUGCCGGCCUGGGCAAUGCCCUGGACGACUGGAGCUUCUUUGCCGUGUUCGAUGGGCACGCUGGUUGCAAGGUUUCCGAGCACUGCGCCAAGCACCUGCUGGACAGCAUUGUCAGCACCGAUGAGUUCAUUGGCGGCGACCACGUAAAGGGCAUACGCACGGGAUUCCUUCGCAUCGACGAGGUUAUGCGGGAUCUGCCGGAGUUCACCAUGGAGGAGGAGAAGUGCGGAGGUACCACCGCCGUUUGCGCAUUUGUCAGCUCCACCCAGGUGUACAUCGCCAAUUGUGGGGACUCUCGGGCAGUGCUCUGCCGUCAGGGGGUGCCCGUGUUCGCAACGCAGGACCAUAAGCCCAUCCUGCCGGAGGAAAAGGAGCGCAUCCACAAUGCCGGCGGCAGCGUUAUGAUCAAGCGAGUGAACGGAACACUGGCGGUUUCACGUGCUCUCGGCGACUACGACUUCAAGAACGUGAAGGAGAAGGGACAGUGUGAGCAGCUGGUCUCGCCGGAGCCGGAGAUCUUCUGCCAGAGCCGACAAGACACCGAUGAGUUUCUAGUGCUCGCAUGUGACGGCAUCUGGGACGUGAUGACCAACGAGGACGUGUGCAGCUUCAUUCACUCGCGGAUGCGGGUGACCAGCGACCUGGUCAACAUCGCCAACCAGGUGGUGGACACGUGCCUGCACAAGGGCAGUCGGGAUAACAUGAGCAUCAUCAUUAUCGCCUUCCCAGGAGCUCCGAAGCCCACCAUGGAGGCGAUAGAGGCUGAGAACAGGCUGGAGAAACAAAUCGAGAAGAUCACAAGAGAUGAGAUAGAGUCUAGCAAGGUUACCGACUACGUGGAUCUGCUGAAGUGUCUCCAAAACAGAGACGACAUCGAAGGUCUUCCCCCCGGUGGCGGUUUGCAGUCCAAAUAUCACGUUAUCGAGCGCACAUUCAAGCAAGAGUUCCCGGAUCGACCAUGUGAACUGUAUGCAUAUGAUGAUAUAUGAAUUUUGUAAUGCUAAUUGUUCAUUUUUAAACCAACAAACAAACCACCAACAACAACCAAUCAACCAAGAGAACAAAGAUAACUCAAACACCACCCCCCCAAGCUUCGCAUACUUCAAAUAGUCCAACGCAUUAGGUUGCAGUCGAAACACGAAAUACAAAACCAGUUAAAAAAUGCCGCAAGACGGACAGAAAACACAGAGCCACACAACUUGAACGAAGCAAACAUACAAACAAAAACAAACAAAACUCACACCAAACAGUUUUCUACUUUGAUAAACACAAAAGAAAAACCUACUAAUAAUGAUAAUAAUAAGCAUUACGAUACAUUUAUAGUUUAUACGAAGCCAGUCCUAAAACACAACAAACGAACAGCCAACACACACGACCACACACACAACUCUAUGAUAUAGAAGAGAUCUAGAACAGAGCGUACCUAAGCAGACCUCAGAGAACCGAAAUGGGACUAAAACAGCGGAUGGCUCAAAGCCAACACCAGCAGCACACCAGAUACCACUACAUCUAUCUGAUUUAUCUGAACAGAUCGACUCUGCAGGACCUUGUCUACCCAUGUGAAUGUUAACCCUCUGUGUGCCCUAUCGUUCCGUCACACCUCAUCAAUCAGUAAUCAUCAGUCCAAACUUCAGAAAAACUUCCACAAAUAUUGGAAAGAAAUAAAAAUAGCAAACUAUUGAAAAAGAAAAAGCAGCGGAAAUUACGUAUCCGCUCAGAUUUUUGUUUAUCAGAAUUGAAUUUUUAUUUUUCAAAACUAUGUAUUAACUAUUGAUUCCGAAACGAAGCGGACUUAUGUAAGUUGUAAAAUGUUUGUUACCGAAAACACUUUUUGUUCAUAUUUUGUAUAUGUAUAUGAGAAAAAUGUAUCGCGUGGCGUGAAAGCGAAACUUAAUAAUGUAAAGUAAACAAAAAAAGUGAAAAGUGAAAAAAAAAUACAGAAAAAGGAAAAACCAAACUAGCAAACAAAAUCUGUAACUAUCUAUGUAUGGAAACGAGAAAGUAAUACCUAAAACCUAAAGUAAGCAAACAAAACGCAAACCCACAAUAAUGUCCGAUCUUAAAGAAAGAAUGAAAACUAAGAACUAUUAAUUUA
Drosophila bipectinata is the source of this 2791-nucleotide RNA transcript. It is a transcript of the gene named protein phosphatase alphabet, with no coding region annotated. The record is from RefSeq and is a predicted model, not a curated record. NCBI's taxonomy places the organism in Eukaryota, Metazoa, Arthropoda, Insecta, Diptera, Drosophilidae.